AUACCGUGAAACUGCGAAUGGCUCAUUAAAUCAGUUAUCGUUUAUUUGAUAGUACCUUACUACUUGGAUAACCGUGGUAAUUCUAGAGCUAAUACAUGCUGAAAACCCCAACUUCGGGAGGGGUGUAUUUAUUAGAUAAAAAACCAACGCCCUUCGGGGCUUCUUGGUGAUUCAUGAUAACUUUACGGAUCGCAUGGCCUUGCGCCGGCGACGGUUCAUUCAAAUUUCUGCCCUAUCAACUUUCGAUGGUAAGGUAUUGGCUUACCAUGGUUUCAACGGGUAACGGGGAAUUAGGGUUCGAUUCCGGAGAGGGAGCCUGAGAAACGGCUACCACAUCCAAGGAAGGCAGCAGGCGCGCAAAUUACCCAAUCCCGACACGGGGAGGUAGUGACAAUAAAUACUGAUACAGGGCUCUUUUGGGUCUUGUAAUUGGAAUGAGUACAAUUUAAACCUCUUAACGAGGAACAAUUGGAGGGCAAGUCUGGUGCCAGCAGCCGCGGUAAUUCCAGCUCCAAUAGCGUAUAUUAAAGUUGUUGCAGUUAAAAAGCUCGUAGUUGAAACUUGGGUCUGGCUGGCAGGUCCGCCUCACCGCGUGUACUUGUCCGGCCGGGCCUUCCUUCUGGAGAACCUCAUGCCCUUCACUGGGCGUGUUGGGGACCAGGACUUUUACUUUGAAAAAAUUAGAGUGUUCAAAGCAGGCCUUUGCUCGAAUACGUUAGCAUGGAAUAAUAGAAUAGGACGUGCGGUCCUAUUUUGUUGGUUUCUAGGACCGCCGUAAUGAUUAAUAGGGACAGUCGGGGGCAUCAGUAUUCAAUUGUCAGAGGUGAAAUUCUUGGAUUUAUUGAAGACUAACUACUGCGAAAGCAUUUGCCAAGGAUGUUUUCAUUAAUCAGUGAACGAAAGUUAGGGGAUCGAAGACGAUCAGAUACCGUCGUAGUCUUAACCGUAAACUAUGCCGACUAGGGAUCGGGCGAUGUUCUUUUUCUGACUCGCUCGGCACCUUACGAGAAAUCAAAGUUUUUGGGUCUGGGG
This 1032-nucleotide ribosomal RNA is filed under the name Neostagonospora artemisiae. Its description in RNAcentral is "SSU rRNA". It matches the Rfam family "Eukaryotic small subunit ribosomal RNA", at positions 76 to 1119 of the family's 1831-position model. RNAcentral also lists the same sequence under 1 other name. Lineage: Eukaryota; Fungi; Ascomycota; Dothideomycetes; Pleosporales; Phaeosphaeriaceae. The record is from RNAcentral.